UAUAAAGUAAGCUAAAUAUAUAAGCUAGUGGGUUCAUACCCCAAAUAUGAUAAAUAUAUCCUUUAUUA
RNAcentral lists this transfer RNA (68 nucleotides) under Ixodes fecialis. RNAcentral's name for it is "tRNA-Met". The record is from RNAcentral. Lineage: Eukaryota; Metazoa; Arthropoda; Arachnida; Ixodida; Ixodidae.